This 495-nucleotide ribosomal RNA is filed under the name uncultured bacterium. Its description in RNAcentral is "bacterial SSU rRNA". It matches the Rfam family "Bacterial small subunit ribosomal RNA", at positions 36 to 518 of the family's 1533-position model. The record is from RNAcentral.
CUGGCGGCAGGCCUAACACAUGCAAGCCGAACGGUAACAGGAAGAAGCUUGCUCUUGCUGACGAGUGGCGGACGGGUGAGUAAUGUCUGGGAAACGUAGCCUGAUGGAGGGGGAUAACUACUGGAAACGGUAGCUAAUACCGCAUAACGUCGCAAGACCAAAGAGGGGGGACCUUCGGGCCUCUUGCCAUCGGAUGUGCCCAGAUGGGAUUAGCUUGUUGGUGGGGUAACGGCUCACCAAGGCGACGAUCCCUAGCUGGUCUGAGAGGAUGACCAGCCACACUGGAACUGAGACACGGUCCAGACUCCUACGGGAGGCAGCAGUGGGGAAUAUUGCACAAUGGGCGCAAGCCUGAUGCAGCCAUGCCCGCGUGUAUGAAGAAGGCCUUCGGGUUGUAAAGUACUUUCAGCGGGGAGGAAGGGAGUAAAGUUAAUACCUUUGCUCAUUGACGUUACCCGCAGAAGAAGCACCGGCUAACUCCGUGCCAGCCGCCGC